UACGAAGGGGGCUAGCGUUGCUCGGAAUCACUGGGCGUAAAGCGCACGUAGGCGGACUCUUAAGUCGGAGGUGAAAUCCUGGAGCUCAACUCCAGAACUGCCUUCGAUACUGGGAGCCUUCGAGUUCGGGAGAGGUGAGUGGAACUGCGAGUGUAGAGGUGAAAUUCGUAGAUAUUCGCAAGAACACCAGUGGCGAAGGCGGCUCACUGGCCCGAUACUGACGCUGAGGUGCGAAAGCGUGGGGAGCAAAAGGG
This 254-nucleotide ribosomal RNA is filed under the name uncultured bacterium. Its description in RNAcentral is "partial 16S ribosomal RNA". It matches the Rfam family "Bacterial small subunit ribosomal RNA", at positions 524 to 776 of the family's 1533-position model. The record is from RNAcentral.